CCUACGGGUGGCAGCAGUGGGGAAUAUUGGACAAUGGGCGCAAGCCUGAUCCAGCCAUGCCGCGUGAGUGAUGAAGGCCCUAGGGUUGUAAAGCUCUUUCAGUAGGGAAGAUAAUGACGGUACCUACAGAAGAAGCCCCGGCUAACUUCGUGCCAGCAGCCGCGGUAAUACGAAGGGGGCUAGCGUUGUUCGGAAUUACUGGGCGUAAAGCGCGCGUAGGCGGACAUUUAAGUCAGGGGUGAAAUCCCGGGGCUCAACCCCGGAACUGCCUCUGAUACUGGGUGUCUAGAGUUCGGAAGAGGUAAGUGGAAUUGCGAGUGUAGAGGUGAAAUUCGUAGAUAUUCGCAGGAACACCAGUGGCGAAGGCGACUUACUGGUCCGAUACUGACGCUGAGGUGCGAAAGCGUGGGGAGCAAACAGGAUUAGAUACCC
Molecule: ribosomal RNA, 432 nt
Filed under: uncultured bacterium
Lineage: Bacteria
Description: bacterial SSU rRNA
Rfam family: Bacterial small subunit ribosomal RNA
Source: RNAcentral